GAGGACAAGGCAGCGGGGAGGAGAGCGGUGCAGAGGAGAGCUGGCUGUUAGCGGACAUAAUGGAAACCAGGCCUGCUGGUAGAGAGUGCAAACCAUAGGCCGUGUAUAAAGAUGGACGACAUGACAGCUCCCCAAACGUGAAGCCAAAGCGUCUCCACCUGCUGGCCGGCUGCAGUAUAGACGUGAAACCCCACCUCCUCCAUGUUAAUUGAUGGGACAUGGACCAAACUAAAAAGUCAAAUACACAUUUCCUGUGGCUGCUUUGCAAUAAAAAGCUAUCUAUA
Long non-coding RNA from Hippoglossus stenolepis (Pacific halibut), 284 nucleotides. RefSeq lists it as uncharacterized. The transcript has 2 exons. The record is from RefSeq and is a predicted model, not a curated record. NCBI's taxonomy places the organism in Eukaryota, Metazoa, Chordata, Actinopteri, Pleuronectiformes, Pleuronectidae.